GAGGAAAUUUCCAAAAAAAUUACAAAUUUAAAAAUCGCAAUUUUUGAAAUUUUUUUAUUUGAAACUUCCAUAACUUUUUCAUAAUUAUAAUUCAAUGUUAUUGAAUUAUAAUUUAAUUAUUAAAAUUCGGUCUAGACAUAUAAUAUUUUUCUUCUUACGUGUUAAACCAUUUUUUUUAGUAAAUCCAAUAAUAAUAAUAAUAAUGGCUGUGUGUGUGUGUAUACUCAUUUUAUUCUUGCUAAAUCAUAUAAAACGCAACAUCUUAUGGUUUUUGUAUCAUUCAGUUGGUUCACGAUUUAGGUGUUUUAUAACAACUACGUUUCUUUUAUUGACUUAUUUUAAAAAGUAACAUAAAAAAGAAUUAUUACUUUUAGAAUACACCAGAAUACGGCGGCCAGAAGUUUUUUAUUAUUUUAAUUAAUAUUAAAAAUGAAACUCGAGAAAACAACACGCCAGUUUUCGGUAAUUUAAUGAUUAACCUUGACAACGAAUUAGGAAUUCAAUUGUCGUGCAAUAUAAUAUAAUAUAAUAAGGAGCAAUAACACAGAACUCUAAUGAUUCAAUUUAUUUUAUCGAUUCAAUCACGAAUCAUAGACCAAUAAUUGAAUCACGUGAUGGUAAUUGGUCAACACCUAAUGGCCACGAGUCAACUAUAAAAAUGACCUGAAUGUAUAUGAUAGGUCAGAUGCAAUUUUCUUACUGUAAACCGAGUUUUUACUCUAAUUCAUAAAGUUAUCAUUUAUCGCUUAACACACACACGCACAUAUAGACAGACAUUAUUUUUCCCGACUUUAUAUUUAUUAUAAAUUUUUUUUUAAUAACUAUUUCAAGUAGUAUCAUAGUGCACAAAAUCUUUUACAUUAAUGCAAAAUUUGAGACGUCACGAAAAAACCCACACCGAUAUCCGUCACCCAUAUUCAGUUUGUCAAGUGGAUUUAAGUAUCUAGGAGAUCUAAAAAAACAUUUAUAUAAACACAUUGCUAAUAAUAAAAAAAUUAAAUACUGUAACGAGAUUAACAACAACAACUGAGACCAAGUGUUAUAACCCAUACAUCGAAUUACUAUAAUAAUCGCCGAAUUUGAAUUUAUGUCCUCAAUAUCAGCAAUUUUUUGACGAGACAAAACCAGAAUUAAUUAACUUAUUGGUGGAGUUAGUCUCUGAAAAUGGGAUUAAAUUUGGGCUUAAACUUGAAAGUAUAUACAUCGUGUCAGACACAAUAAUUUAAGAAAAUUGGUCUUUUAAAACGUCUGUCCGUUCACUCGUUAUUGGUGAUAUAAACGAUUAGAGUAGUAUAAUCGACGAAGAGUUUGCUAAAUUAUUGUAUGAACAUAAGAUCACUGUGGUAUGGUAUUGAAUUUCACAAUGGAUACAGUCAAUGGAUUAUUACUCUAUGUAUAUAAAUUCACUCCGCUUGGUGGUUAUUCAUAUAUUAAGUUACCUAAAUGUAUUGAAAACCAUAAGGCAACAAUCAAUGUAAUGAAUAAUGAUGAUUUAUGUUUUAAAUAUAGUAUAAUGGCAAAAAAUGUUAACUCAGUAAAUGCUAAUCAUGGUUAUUAUGAGAAUCCUGUCUAUAAAUAAGAGCAAAUUCAAGAAAAAUAUUGAAUAAAUUAGAUUAAUUUUAGCGAUUACUUUAAAAAUGUAUGAAAA
Molecule: RNA transcript, 1648 nt
Organism: Daktulosphaira vitifoliae (grape phylloxera)
Lineage: Eukaryota; Metazoa; Arthropoda; Insecta; Hemiptera; Phylloxeridae
Exons: 5
Source: RefSeq, a predicted model, not a curated record